Molecule: long non-coding RNA, 9287 nt
Organism: Acinonyx jubatus (cheetah)
Lineage: Eukaryota; Metazoa; Chordata; Mammalia; Carnivora; Felidae
Exons: 2
Source: RefSeq, a predicted model, not a curated record
GUAACGCUUCCACAUUAGGUUGGCUCGGUCAUCAUCACUGCCACAGGUCAAGGGAAGCGAGGAGCACCCAUGAGACGGCGGGGACACCGGGGCCCCCCAACACCACGGAAACGACUCACGCAGCCCUGCACCCCACCCACCCCCAGCUCCUUCUCUACAUUUCAAAGAAGCGUCAAAGGAGUAGGUCAAAGGAGUAACGCUUCAGAAGGCUCAGACGGCUGGCUUUCCGGGGAAAUCCAAGGGCCAUCCCAGCACUGCCCUCUGCCUCCAGCUGUACCCUUGGCCUCCCUCCCUCCUCCGACCUCUUCGCUGCUUCUCAAACCAGCUUCCAGGCUAAGCGGUUCCCUGGACCCUACAUCCUCCAUCUGGACUGGCCCAGUUCUGUGUGGGGUGAAGGCUGCCAAGCGUGUACGGGAAGGUGAAGGAGGGAGAGUGACCUCACCUCAGCUCCGGUUCUUCUAGUAGAGCCCCCCCGCGGCGGGGCUGAGAGGCAGCUGCACCACUGGCCAAGAUUGGUGCAGCCCGGCGGCCGCGUCGGUUGAUUUCGAGGUGCAGCCGCUCCAUGAGGAGCUUCAGGAACUCUUGGGCAUCCUGCUGGCUGCGGCCAGAAACAGGGUGUGGGCCACCGACCCCCACCUGGUCCCCAGACACGACCCCCCGCCCGCACGUCGGUCCCCACUUCUCGGAUGAAGGACAUCCGAGGGCCCCGAACAACGCUGCCAGGGCCCCUGCUCGGCCCAGAGAGGAGCCUCCUCCCCUCCGGCUCUCCCACCUGUAUCCAGAGAAGGAGGGAACGUAUUUCUGGAAGACAGCUCGGAAUCGGGUGGGAUUCACAGCUUCACAGGAGUCAGGAUGCCACAGGGCACCGAUCACAUCCGCAAAGGCUGUCGGGGCAGGCGUGAGGAGACCAAGGUUAGUGACUAGAAGAGGCGGGCCAGGGGUGGCUCAGAGGGUGGAGAACCACCUCUAGGGAAGCAGGCAGCAGGAAAAACAGAUGGCCAGAUGCAACGGUCGUCGGGGCCACCGUGACUGGCAGGCGGACCCAGAGGUAGGGGAGAGGACCCGGAAAGGGGGGAGCAAGAGGUGUUGCCCUACCUUCAGUGAGCUCUUGCGCUCGACCCCCUCCAGGCACCUCUUGCCGGAAGUCCCUCCGCAGACAGAAGUCCCGAAGAGGCCGAGUGCUGCUCAAACACUGUAGCACUGCAUUCAGGAAGCACUGGGAGGCGCGAGAGACACGGCCAUCAUUGCUGCAGACCACUGACCUGACGCCUAGAAGGGCUUCAGUGCGCUCCUUCCCCACCUCCCCCAGGUCGGCCCCCCGCCACCCCCACCCCGCACCAUUUCUCAUUCCCGUUAGGGAGGAAGGACAGGAGGCUGGCUCUCACCGUGUUCCCCAGGUUUCGCAGGCCAACGUGACCAGAGCCCAGGAGCAGUGUGUGAUGAGCCUGGAAGGUCAGAGUGGAGUCAGCGGUUUCCCAUCUAUCCCGCCCAGCACUCCGACCUUUCAACAGCAUGCCGCCCACGGCUUCCCCACCCCUGCACUGCACCCCCAAGCUCCACCCUCUUUCCCCCACCGGGUACUGGGGGCUCCCCUACCUCGCUGGCCAUGAGCAUGUAAGCCCAUCACAGCUGAGCGCAGCACGGACUCGGCCAGGGCUGUCCCACCUGCUCCCCACUUACUCGCCUGCCCAGCUGGCCGGCGCUGCAGCUCCUGGGGCAGCUCCCCAAGCACGGGCAUGGCUGCCCAGCCGCUCCCCAUGCCCACCUUGCUUCCCCCAAGGGUUCCCCCACUCCCGCCCCCCGGGGCCCCUUCCUGAGCCCUCUCCUGAUGGAUACAACUGCAGUCAACCUAGCUCACUUAGCUUGGGAAACGGACAACCACCCUAACUCAGAUGCUCUGAGCCCGCCUCUCUUCAGCUCCAGAGAUUAAUUAGGCCCAGGCAGCAUCCUAGGAGAGAAGGGGAAGCAAGGGAGAGUAAGGGCCCGGGGACCGGGGAUGCGGAGAAGAAUUCCAAACGGUUGGGUUAAUUCUCUGGGGACUGAAAUGGCACACCGUGCUGGGGACUCACAGACAACCCCGAAAAAAAGGUCUGCAAGGCUCGAGGGUACUUAAGUAAGGGAGAGGAGAGUCCCAGCUGCUGCAGUGAGGGACUGGGAAAGGAACUCGGGGAAAAGAGGGAAAGGAAAGCCACCUGAUGGCAAGAAAGCUGGAGGCACAGAGGAGCACGGGCACGGAAGGCCACGGGUGCCGGACAAGUCCUCACCAUUUUGUCAUCGGAGGAGAAAGACUCAGAGGGCCGGGCCGAUAUGACGUGAAAGGAGCCAUGGGAAGUAGGGGGCUCCGUCCGUAUACUGAGCAAGGUUGGGGGACCGGGAAAGCCCCCGAGGCGGCGGAGAGAAGCACUGCGUCUCAAAGCCGGUGGCUCAGGCCGGAGCGCCAGGCGGCUCAGCGCAGCCCCGAGCUCCCCAGCGCCACGGUGCCCUCCCAGGGCAAUCCCCAUAGGCCGCAAGUCCCCACUGCUCACAGACUUGGAACGGGCUAGGUUGGUCCUGGAAGGGAGAGGCAGAGCCACGGUGGUCGGGGGUGGUGAGCCAGGCAGGGGAACUCCAUGAUCUGCCCGAAGGGGUCCUCUGGCACGAGGGCCUGAGGUCCGACCCCGUCCCAGCUCCAGUUUCUUGAGCCGUUCCUCAGGGGGCCCCGGCCGGGGAGGCAGAGGUCUUAACAUGGGGUUCGGCCCAGGGGCCGGGUUUCGGCGCUCCUUGCUUCGGGCCCGUGGGGCAAAUGGUAGCUUGGAUCCCACUCGGGGCUGGACAUUAACAGGUGGCUCUCGGGUCCGGCCCAGGCGGUGCUCAGAGGCCUGGGGCAUUGUGGACACCACAGGCUGGACCUGGGAGGAGAAGAGAGGGUCAGUAUUUGCAUGUGGAGGGAGGUGGGAACCUAGGUUACCACACUAGCUUCUACAUACUCCACAGGCAGGAACCCCGUCUGUCAUGUCAGUCACUGUAUCCCCAGCACCUCGCAUCGUAUUGAGCACAAAGUAAAUACUCUGUAUCCGUUGAGUAAGUGAAUGAAUGACAGCAGCCCCCCGCGUUGGCUCUUUCUGUAUUCCUCGUCCCCUUCCUGCAGAACACAGCUUGACUGAAAAGCCAAGGAUAGUCUCGAUCUCGGCGGUCUUUAUGAUCUAAACGCUCAUGACGAGGGCCCCCAUACCCGGCUAGUCAACGGGAGGUGCCCUGGGUCACUUAGAACCUCUGGACAAACGAGGGUGUGGAUGUAAGGAAAACAGCCCCAAAGACAGCGUCCCACCCUCAAACCCCUGCCUGCCCUUCGGGCUGCACUGAAGCGGACUAAUGGGUGCCUGGCGAAUCACUCCCUCCCCCACCUCUGAGCUGCAACGAGGUGUUGGGGCUCAGGGGCAGUGGCGGGGAGGGAGGUCGAACAAGACCCUCAUCUCCGCACCUCUCCCACCACCGCAGGGCUUCAGCCGGGUCCGCCCCCCUCGAGGGCAGAAAGGCCGAGGCCGCUGAUUGGCUACGGGGUCCGGCGGCGUAGUCCCUGCGGUCCACGGAUGCUGUCCCUCCAGCCCGGAUCCCCCAGGCCUGCCGGGCCCCCCGCGCCCUGCCUUUGUGGAGGGCGUCCUUUCGGGUCUGGAGCGGUCUUCCCGCGGCCCCCCCCACGCCAUAGCGCCCCGGCCCGUACCUGUCCCCCGGUGAGGCGACGGGGGAGGCCAGCCGGGGCCAAGCCCCAGCUCAGGGCCACCCCCUACUACCCCCGUGCAGCCCCCCGGAGGGCCGGGCUGCAGCUUUAGCUGCAGCUGUUGCCCAGAUCUCUCCCGCCGCAGGGGCCGCCGCCAUCUUUGUUGGUCCCGCCCGGCCACCGGCCACCGGCUUCACCGCCUCUCACGGCGCCUGCGCACCCACACUCGGAAUCCACCCACCUCCUUCCUCGGCGCUUGCGUGAACCCGCCCCCUUGGCUCCGCCGCCGCCACCAUGGAAACGCAGCCAACUUUAGGACCGCCGGUUCCCAGAUCUGCUUUGAAUGGUUUUUAAACCGUCUCUCCAAGUCCCUGCAGCCAUAAGGGUCCUGUGACCAUAGGGAUGAAGAUCCGAGGGUCGUAGUAUGGCCCCCAGGCUUGCAGACAGAUCCUUGCCGGGGAGCCCCGGUGCCAGUGUGGGAAGCUGCGAUGCUUGGGUCCGGCCCGCAGACCGGUGGAGAAGCAUCCAGCACUCCACACAGGGAUGGGAAGAUCCCUGGAGGGCGGGGAACGCUGGUCCUGCAAAACCAUUCCUCAGGCAUCUUGCAGACCAAGGCAGUAGGCACCCCGCUAAAGGACACCAGCAGAUCUCUGCAAGCAGAUCUCAGCAGGAGGGAGAGCAGUCAAGAUUUCCUUUCAUUUCCCAGCUCCUCACCACAGCACCCCCAUCUUCCCCUCCCUCCACACCAAGGUCGUUGUACAUGUGCCUUGGGUCUCAGCCGGCUCACCGUCUCUUCACAGUCACCAAAGAGAACCACGGGUCAUCAGAGGAAGCAGCUUUUAUUGAUGAGUUAUCUCCAGAGACCAAAAAGACUAUGCACCCACUUUCCAGCCUGCUUCCCAUCCUUCCUGGAUCUCACAUUGUUCCACCUGGGGAAGGGAUAUGAGUUGCCUUGGUUUUCCAAAGCCCCCGUCUUUCCCCUCCCUGUGUAGCCUUAGAAAUUCAGUGGCGAUUGUGUUGUUUAUUUUUUUCAGCAAUGCCUGAUGCAGCUACUUAGUAACAAUUAUGGGUGGAGGGGCUUGGGGGGGAAGCAGGUGGAUGAGUAGGAGUGAGGCACAGAAACAGGAACAGAACAUAGCCCGUCAAAGGUCCCUCUGUCCUGCCUCAGUGGCUUGAUCCUUCAUGGGUUGCCUUUCUCUUUAUGCUGAAUCACGCCCUUCUGAAUCAGAUCGGGGAUUUCCACUGCCAGCCAUGGACCCAGCUGCAACACAAGGGAGACCCUGUGAGAUUACUACCACCGAGUCAGUGCCUCUUGUCCCAUCAGAAGCUCCUUCCUAGACAGAUUUUUAUGAGCGUGCCCACGGAAAGCACUGUUAUUCCCUGUUUACUCUCAGUUACUUUUCUUACAUUGCUCAGUGCCUAAUUCCUCUCCCUCCCCUAAUAUGCCAGAUAUCCCAAACUUACCCCCAGAGCCAUGAGAUGAGCUAGUCCAAACUUGGGCACGUUCCUGGCCCACAAAGGCUUAAAGUGAUCAGUCAGGCAUAUUUUGCCACCCCUAUGAGAGGGACAGGAGGAAGAAGGUGUUGACAUGCAAGGUUUACCAUAAAGCAUAGCAGCCUCUUGGAAGCACAAGAUGAUAGCCAGUGAUCAGAAUUAGGCCCAAGGUUAGCUGAGUACUUUGCCCAGGUGCGGUAGAGGGGAGCCUGGAGGCCUUUUAGGCGCUAGGACAAUUGUUGUCUCCCAGAGGUCUUCCCUAAGGCCUCUUAGACCUUUUCCCAUCUCCUUUUGAGUCCUACCUGUACAUCUUUGCUGUUUUUCCAUCCAGUUCAGGGACUGCAAUUUCUGGAGCAGUAGUGGGGUAUGUGAUAGGAAUCUGGAGGAAAUAUAAGGCCUUAAUGACACAAGCAUCGGGAUAGAAAGGAACUAAUCCAAUCACACGUAUCUCUUGGUUGAACUGAAAUGUGCGACAAACCCCCCAAGCAGCAUGCCGACGCAGGGAUGCUGGAUAUGGAGAGGAAUAGCUGUCCUCUAUGCUUGCUCCAAUCCUUAGCGUUUCCCUCCCAUUUUGAAAGUUUUCUCUGGUUCCUCCAAGAAAGGUUAGCUUGUUAACAGCCACCUAAUCCCUCCCCUUCCACUAACUUCCAUAUUUCCCAUUCCAUCAGACUUACGUCAAACUCAAUGUCAAACUCAUAUUUGAGCAGGUCAUGGAUGUACCAGCAUUUUCCAAACCACCUGUAAUAAAGACCAAACCUCAGUCCAAUCUGCCCAUUCUUCUCAUGCUCAAAUAACAUCUUCUUGGCUUAGGUGAUCAGCCUGGGAGACUCAUGGGAUGGGAACUGGGGCACUCUGGACUGUGGGCGGGAGACAGCUAACAGGAGGCAGGGAAGGCCUGGCAGUGGGCUUUGGGACAUUAAAGUGCUCAAGCCAUGUAAGAUUCCCACUCCCCCAAACGACCAAGAGGGUCUGCCUACCGAGUCCCUUCCUUGUUGGACUCCAGUCGGAACCAAUCAUUGUCGGCAUUCUUGUUGUUCUCCACGUACUAAAAGCAGAGAGUGAGGUCUUUGAGGAGGGAGUUGAGGCCAAGGGCAGUCCUCUUCCCUCAACAGAAAAGUGUGUGGUUACUUUCUUAGUGUGUACCCAACUUUUUUUUUUGAGAAAAAAAAUUAUUUUAUUUUGAGAGAGCAUGCACACAAGUGGGAGAGGAGGAGAGAUAAAGGCAGAGAGAGAGAGAGAGAGAGAGAGAGAGAGAGAGGGAGAGAGAGAGAAUCCCAAGCAGGCUCCUCGCCAACAGCGCAGAGCCUGACUCGGACUGCAUCCCAUGAAUCAUGAGAUCGUGACCUGAGUCAGAAGCUUAACCAACUGAACCACCCAGGUGCCCCUGUAAGUUGAAAUGUUUACUUUCCCUUCACAGGCACCUCAAACUCAGCAUUUCCCCCUGGUCCUUCAGACCAUUUCUUCACUGCACCAAUUUCGAUGACCGCAUUUACUCAGUCAUGCAAACCAAACCCUGGGAAUCAUCCUUGACCUUCUCUCUCCUCUCCUCUCCCCAGACCUUCACGAUGUCCUGCUGAUUUUACCCUUUGAAGGUUCUUCAAAUCUACCUCUUCUCUCUAUCCUAACUAUACCUAUCCAGCUUAGAUCAUCACCUUUCUUUCGCCUGGAUUAAUGACAGCCUCCUAAAUUUGCUUCCUCCCUUCAAUCUCAUCUCUUUCAAUUCCAUUUUCCUCUCCACUGCCAUUGUGAUUGACCUAACCCCAAUCUGACCAUGCCAUCCCUCAGCUUAAAAUACUGUAAAGGUAUCCCAGUGCCUACAACAGAAAUUUCAAGAGCUCAAGCCGAUCUCUCCAGCCUUGUCUACCAUUCCCCGCCAUACACUUGACGCUGUAGCAACUCUGAACUGCUUCCAUUUCUAUGUUUCUUCAUAGGCAUCGUGCCCUUUCUAGCUUCUGUGCUUUUGCUCAUGCUGUUUCUUUGCCCGUCAACAUCUUUCUCUUAUCCUCAUGUUGAUCAGAUUAUGUUUACCCUUUCAGGCUCAGCUCAAGCACUGCCUCUUCGAGGAAGCCCUCCCGGACAAGACCCAAACUGGAUUAGGUAUCUCACCUUCUGCUCUCAAAACAUCCUAGCAAUCUUUCCCUCCCCCUCUGCCGCCCCUUAACGAAUUGUAAUGAUUUGUUUCUAUCCAUCUCAGCAGGCUCCAGCUUAUUCGGCUUUGGAUCCCGUUCCUAGGUGCUAGGUUACAAUAAAUGUGGUGGGGUUUUGUUCGUUUGUUUGUUUGUUUUUUAGCGAAUAACGUGCUGCUGCCCUUUGAAACAGAGGCCACGGCAAGGGAGACAAACUUUCUUCCUUUUCCACAGAAGGGAGAUGAGCCGGGAAGAUAGCUCAUUCCUGACUGUGAGCUUCACUCCUCAACUCUUGGCAACUAACGCCUGAAGUUUCAGCCUUAGCCUGUGCCUCCCUCAGGAAGAGUGAAGGAAGGAGCAGAGCGAUGAGCCAGGGACUUGGAGCUCCAGGAAUCCCUUUUGACUGCCUCCCCUCCAUCCAGGAGGGACACGUCACCUUCCGGGGAGGCGUAUCCCUAAGACAACUGCUGCUUUGGCCCCGCCUGGGCUCCCAAGCUGAGUUUCCUUUGCCCCCUCCCCACCAUACCCUCCUAAGCCCCCCCAGCCCCACAAUCGUCCAGUUUCUCUGAAUUUGGGACUUAAACUUUAUAACCGGAAGCGGCUUCCACACGGAGCGUAUUCCCAAGGACACCCGAUUACCCGCAACCCUUCGGCGACGCGGUCGGCCGCAGAAGCACAACUAACCCGGAUAAGAGACUGAUAUUCCUCUUUGAGUCGCUGCACCCACAACUCACGAUCUCGAGGUCCGGCGUUAGUCUUCAGCACCGGGAUCUCAGACACCACACGCCGGGUAGCCUCGUCCGCCAUCUUGGACGAGGGCGCCAGAGAAACGCGGAAGUGGUACUGCCUGCAGUUUACACUCAGGGGGCCGCCAUCUUUACUGUGGGAAGAUGGGCUGUUGGGCUGCCUUCGGACUUCUUUGAGUGCGGUCUUUAUUUUCUUGUAACGAAGACAAAUUUGUCACCUGGUCACUUGCUUGUGGGUGCAACGGAAAAAAGAGAACGUAACGGAUUGCUUCUUAAUAUGGUACCUAUUAUUUAAAAAACCCGCAGAUUGCUCAAAGGGUGACUUCCGCUCAUGCUCAGAGAAGGAGUUUCAGAAAACUCGGCCGCCUUCCCAAACUUGGGAGAGUUGUUAGAAUUUCAGGCUGGUGUAGGCACUGUGCGGGGCACUGUCUUCCUGAAACGCGCUGUUCACGUGUUUGGAUAAGCUUCCUUAGCUUCCAUGUAGUUCGGUUCAGGUAGCAGGGGCAAAGCAGUCAUCCAACAGAAGGAUAUUGAACUCGUGAUAAUGAUUGGAAACCAUGGGGAAUCAAAGUAUCCACACCCUCGGUCCUGAAGAAUUAACACAAUCGAAUUAGAGAAUUCUUAAUAAGUGCCCAAGCAGUUUAAAGAUCGCAGGAAAACUUGCCUUAGUCUAGCGUAGACAUUUUCUGAUCUGGAUUUAAAUCACCCAGGAAGGAUUCUGGUGCAUGGCACACAGUAGGUAUCUGGUCAUACUUUUGCAGAAUUUUGUAUCUUCCUGUUGGCUUUUCAACCCAAACACAAUUUUGGCUUUAAUUUACAUAUCAUGUUUACUCCCUUAAUCAGCCUGUGGCAGUAAUUUUGAAUCAGAUUCGUCAAAUUGUAUAGUCCAUUUACAAAGCUAUAUCUUAAUUAUAAGCAUGCUAUAUCUUCAUUUCUAAUGGCUGUAACUUCCAGUACAAUGUUGAAUAAAAGUUUUGAGGGCAUUCAUCCCUGUCUUGUGAUUUUAGGAGGAAAAGCAUUGGCUUUUUUCAUUAUGAUGUUAGCUGUAAGCUCUUCAUAGAUGGCCCUUUAUCAGGUUAAGAAAGUUCCCUUCUAUUGUGGUGUUGAGGGUUUUUUAUCAUGAAUGGAUGUUGGAUUUUUUCCAAAUGCUUUUUUUGUAUGUGUUCAUUAGGAUGAUAAUGUGGUUUUUGUCUUUUUUUUUAGCAUGCCAUAUAUUUCUUUCUU